Molecule: long non-coding RNA, 627 nt
Organism: Prosopis cineraria
Lineage: Eukaryota; Viridiplantae; Streptophyta; Magnoliopsida; Fabales; Fabaceae
Exons: 3
Source: RefSeq, a predicted model, not a curated record
UUGACCCGGGCUUUUGUGCAAUAAUAAAAAAUGUUGGGCCCUUUCUUGUAAUUUUCCCCAAACUUUUUGACCAGCAAUUUAAAGACCCAAAUUGAUGCAGAAACGCAGAAAUUGAGUUGGAAAGGAAAGGAAAGGAAACGUAUGAGAGGGAGAGAGGAAGAAGAGAAGAGAAAGGGAGGGAGUUAGGCUUGGAUCUAGGAGUCUUUGCGACCGUUGCGAGCUCGGCUACACGAUAGAAAAUUGUUGGUGGAACUUAUUGAGAAGUAAGGAACAAGCCGAGCCCUAUUUUGUACAAGGGGAACUCUUUUAGUACCAAAGGGUUGAGGUCCAGGCGAAGGAUCCAGUGGUGGACGGGGAAAAGAGCAAAGCUAGGGGUUUGCUUGUGAUUUGUAAAGAACUGCAACCCCUUUCUUUUGAGCAAAUAUAUUGUAAUGUAUUUAAGAUUAGGGUGCCAGUAGGAUAUGAUUAUGUGUGUGUGUGUGUGAAUAUGUGUGGAUUGUGUGCUUGUGUAUGAAUUUUUGUCUGUUUGCAGACUUGUGGCUAGGAAACUUGGUUAUGGUGUGUGGUUUUGAUGGAUUUACUUAGUAGACCAAGUUUCUAUUACAAGCAGAUCUUUAUUUUGAUAUA